Long non-coding RNA from Sphaeramia orbicularis (orbiculate cardinalfish), 399 nucleotides. RefSeq lists it as uncharacterized. The transcript has 3 exons. NCBI's taxonomy places the organism in Eukaryota, Metazoa, Chordata, Actinopteri, Kurtiformes, Apogonidae. The record is from RefSeq and is a predicted model, not a curated record.
CGUUAGCUGUCCUAUUGUGGGAGGAGCUAAUAAGACUACAAAACAGGUCACAUGUUGCUGCUAUCCUUCAUUUCAUGUCAUUGUUUGUUUAUCUUUUUCCUCAGACUCAUGGUGUCGCUGCGUAACUUCAGUUUAUAUAGAUUUUUUUUAACACAUGCACAGAUGUAAAAAAGAUCAGAUCAACCUGUAUACAUGCAUGAAAACAUCAGAAUAUUGGGGAGAAAUCUAGGUGUGUUGAUCUGAUUUCUCCUAAUCAGAUAACUGUCAUUCUGUGAUAAAGAAGAUCAGAUUAUCGUGUUUACAUGAUCACUGGAAUAAUCAGAUAACUCCAGACAUCGGAUGAUAAUCGGAAUAUUGGUGUGAAUGUAAACAAGCUCAGGGGGGUCCAGUCAGUAUGAA